AAGUCGUAACAAGGUCUCCGUAGGUGAACCUGCGGAGGGAUCAUUCACAUGAUUUACUUUAUCAAACAAACCGUGAACUUUAUUAUUUACUAUUCGUGUUGUUAUAUUACUCCUUCGUGAGUAUUUAAUAACACUGUCAUUCGAUCGAACAUAAGAUAGUUGGCUUGUAUUUUAUAAUACUUUCUCAGCUUUGAUUUACAUGUGUAACUAAACACUACACUUGAACAAUCAACCAAUAAAUAGAAUUAACAACUCUAUGCCCUGGAUAUCUUGGUUCUC
RNAcentral lists this unclassified non-coding RNA (279 nucleotides) under fungal sp. RNAcentral's name for it is "partial internal transcribed spacer region". The stretch from base 1 to 46 matches the Rfam family "Eukaryotic small subunit ribosomal RNA", at positions 1786 to 1831 of the family's 1831-position model. Lineage: Eukaryota; Fungi. The record is from RNAcentral.